CCCUGACAACGGCAUGGUGCCGUUGACUAACCCAGACAGGAGAUUAACAUG
This 51-nucleotide non-coding RNA is filed under the name unclassified sequences. The record is from Rfam.